AUGCGUACCGGUGAUCACGUACUUGCUAUGGUCAAUGAUUUACACGUAAUCUUUGGAAAGGGUCCCGGCAGACUAGCUGUUCCGAAUGACGCUGAGGGACACGCACCCAUGUGGAAGAAGAAAUCUAUAUUUUGGGACCUACCCUACUGGAAAGAGCUAGAGGUCCGCUCUUCAAUCGACGUGAUGCACGUGACGAAGAACCUUUGUGUGAACCUGCUAGGCUUCUUGGGCAUGUAUGGGAAGACAAAAGAUACACCUGAGGCACGGGAGGACCUGCAACGUUUGCACGAAAAAGACGGCAUGCCUCCGAAGCAGUAUGAAGGUCCUGCCAGCUACGCUCUUACGAAAGAAGAGAAAGAAAUCUUCUUUGAAUGCCUGCUCAGUAUGAAGGUCCCGACUGGCUUCUCGUCGAAUAUAAAGGGAAUAAUAAAUAUGCCAGAGAAAAAGUUCCAGAACCUAAAGUCUCAUGACUGCCACGUGAUUAUGACGCAACUGCUUCCGGUUGCAUUGAGGGGGCUUCUACCGGAAAACGUCCGAUUAGCCAUUGUGAAGCUAUGUACAUUCCUCAAUGCAAUCUCUCAGAAGGUGAUCGAUCCAGAAAUCAUACCAAGGCUAAGGAGUAAUGUGGCGCAAUGUCUUGUCAGUUUCGAGCUGGUGUUCCCACCAUCCUUCUUCAAUAUCAUGACGCACGUCCUAGUUCAUCUAGUCGACGAGAUUGUCAUUCUGGGGCCCGUAUUUCUACACAAUAUGUUCCCCUUUGGGAGGUUCAUGGGAGUCCUAAAGAAAUAUGUCCAUAACCGCGCUAGGCCAGAAGGAAGCAUCUCCAUGGGCCAUCAAACAGAGGAUGUCAUUGGGUUUUGUGUUGACUUCAUUCCUGGCCUUAAGAAGAUCGGUCUCCCUAAAUCACGGUAUGAGGGAAGACUGACUAGAAAAGGCACGCUUGGAGGGGACUUAAUAAUAUGCAGGGACGGAUAUUCUUGGUCUCAAGCACACUACACAGUUCUACAGAACUCUACCUUGGUGACCCCGUAUGUCGAUGAACACAAGAACAAUCUGCGCUCCAAACACCCGGAGCAGUGUGACGACUGGAUUACAUGUGAACACAUCAGGACUUUCAGCAGUUGGUUGGAAACACGUCUCAGAGGUGACACCACUGUUUGUGAUGAGUUGUACUCGUUGUCCAGGGAACCAUCUUCGACUGUAUUGACUUACAAAGGAUACGAGAUAAAUGAGAAUACAUUUUACACGAUCGCCCAAGAUCAAAAGAGCACCAACCAAAACAGCGGUGUCCGCUUUGAUGCAGCAACCGAGAGGGGAAAGGACACAUAUUAUGGUUACAUAAUGGACAUAUGGGAACUUGACUACGGACAUGAUUUUAAGGUCCCUUUGUUUAAGUGCAAAUGGGUCAAUCUGUCAGGAGGCGGGGUACAGGUAGACCCACAGUACGGAAUGACAACAGUGGAUCUGAACAAUCUUGGGUACACUGACGAACCGUUCGUCCUAGCCAAUGAUGUGGCACAGGUUAUCUAUGUGAAAGACAUGUCUACCAGACCGAGAAAAAGAAAAGGUAAGGAAGCGAAUACAUCAUACGAUGAGCCAAAGCGCCACAUAGUUCUUUCAGGAAAAAGGGACAUUGUGGGAGUGGAGGGCAAGAUAGACAUGCCUCAAGAUUAUGAAAAGUUUCAUGAAAUUCCUCCCUUCAAAGUCAAGGCUGACCCAAGCAUCCUGAUAAACGAUGAAGAUUAUCCAUGGUUACGACGCAAUAAGCAAAUGACACAAGCGAAGAAAAAGUGA
Molecule: ribosomal RNA, 1794 nt
Filed under: Triticum aestivum (bread wheat)
Lineage: Eukaryota; Viridiplantae; Streptophyta; Magnoliopsida; Poales; Poaceae
Description: partial small subunit ribosomal RNA
Source: RNAcentral